This 692-nucleotide ribosomal RNA is filed under the name uncultured bacterium. Its description in RNAcentral is "bacterial SSU rRNA". It matches the Rfam family "Bacterial small subunit ribosomal RNA", at positions 765 to 1459 of the family's 1533-position model. The record is from RNAcentral.
GGAGCAAACAGGAUUAGAUACCCUGGUAGUCCACGCCCUAAACGAUGCACACUAGUUGUUGUGAGGCUAGACCUUGCAGUAAUGCAGUUAACACAUUAAGUGUGCCGCCUGGGGAGUACGGUCGCAAGAUUAAAACUCAAAGGAAUAGACGGGGACCCGCACAAGCGGUGGAGCAUGUGGUUUAAUUCGACGAUACACGAAGGACCUUACCUGGACUUGACAUAGUAAGAACUUUCUAGAGAUAGAUUGGUGUCUGCUUGCAGAAACUUAUAUACAGGUGCUGCACGGCUGUCGUCAGCUCGUGUCGUGAGAUGUUGGGUUAAGUCCCGCAACGAGCGCAACCCUCGUCCUUAGUUGCUAACAGUUCGGCUGAGAACUCUAAACAGACUGCCUACGCAAGUAGGAGGAAGGUGAGGACGACGUCAAGUCAUCAUGGCCCUUACGUCCAGGGCUACACACGUGCUACAAUGGGAUAUACAAAGAGCCGCAAUACGGUGACGUGGAGCAAAUCUUAUAAAAUAUCUCCCAGUUCGGAUUGUAGUCUGCAACUCGACUACAUGAAGUUGGAAUCGCUAGUAAUCGUAGAUCAGCUAUGCUACGGUGAAUACGUUCCCGGGUCUUGUACUCACCGCCCGUCACACCAUGGGAGUCGAACUCAUUCGAAGCGGGGAUGCUAAAAUAGCUACCUUCCA